GGGCGAGUAGCUCAGCGGGAGAGCGCCUCUCUUACACAGAGGAGGUCGGGGGUUCGAGACCCUCCUCGCCCACCA
Molecule: transfer RNA, 75 nt
Filed under: bacterium
Lineage: Bacteria
Description: tRNA-Val
Rfam family: tRNA
About the family: Transfer RNA (tRNA) molecules are approximately 80 nucleotides in length. Their secondary structure includes four short double-helical elements and three loops (D, anti-codon, and T loops). Further hydrogen bonds mediate the characteristic L-shaped molecular structure. tRNAs have two regions of fundamental functional importance: the anti-codon, which is responsible for specific mRNA codon recognition, and the 3' end, to which the tRNAs corresponding amino acid is attached (by aminoacyl-tRNA synthetases). tRNAs cope with the degeneracy of the genetic code in two manners: having more than one tRNA (with a specific anti-codon) for a particular amino acid; and 'wobble' base-pairing, i.e. permitting non-standard base-pairing at the 3rd anti-codon position.
Source: RNAcentral